Oncorhynchus gorbuscha (pink salmon) is the source of this 1726-nucleotide non-coding RNA. Lineage: Eukaryota; Metazoa; Chordata; Actinopteri; Salmoniformes; Salmonidae. The record is from the annotation of a RefSeq genome assembly.
AUGAGGCCGUGGAACAUUUGUAUAGCUAACAAGCUCUGCCAAGACGAAGUGAAGACUACUUUUGUCAAGGGAAUUUUCACUGUGUAUGUACUUUUAUUUGGCUCUGGUACGAGACUUUCUGUAACAGACAAUACCCUACAAAAACCCAAAGUGACGGUCUACUCAGAGUCCAACCCUGAGUCGAAGGUGAACACCCUGCUAUGUCUGGCUGGAGACAUGUUUCCAGACUUGGUCAAGAUCUCAUGGAAGCUGGAGGAUAAAAACGGCAGAGCAGUUGAGGUGCCUAAAGCAGAGGGGGAACAGCUGGAGCAGAGGGAGGAAGGACGGACGACCAGUAUGAUCAUCAUUGACAAAGAGAAGAUGGACAGGAACAAAUACAUCUGUUCUGUGGAGCAUGAAGGGGGCCCUCAAGAUGUUUACAUGCUAAAAGAUAAACCAACUGAAGCGCCGCGAACCACCGUGGCUGCACCAACCUGUCCGUUCAGAAAUGACACGCAGCAGUCACAGACUCUACAUCUUGCCGACGAAUCCUUCCAGUCAACAUUUAGUCUAAACCUGGCCUCUCUGGUUUACACAGUGAUGAUAGUGAAGAGCAUGGUGUACUGCUGUGGGCUCUCUAUCCUGCUGCACCACAGGAGCUUGGGAAGAGGACCCAGCACCUGUAGACACAUUCAUUGAAAAGAGACCACCCCCCAUGUAUGGAUAGAAUUAUACUGGGCGGUAAACAACAUGGACUUUACAUCCCAUUGAGGUCUAACAUUCCAUUUGUAUUGCUUUUAUUUUUCCUGCUUUAUUUUUUUAGAUGCUACAAUAUUGUGAGCCAUAGUUUUCCAUGUCUUCUAAUAGCUUCAACUGCCAAAUAUGACAAUUGCAGCACAUUUAAUGUUGUAUAUGGAGUAAUGUUACCCUCCUUAUGUGGGAGCUACCCACUGCAGACACAUGCAUAAAGGUUUUCUGGAAAAUAAGCAGAGCAAAUCUUGAAUGUAAAUCAAUUAUGAUUUGAAUUUAGAUUUGGUAAAGUUGCCCUGCAAUAUGUCAGAGGUAGGCCUAAAUUAUACUCACAACUUGUAUUUAAUUUAUACAAAAUAUUUACCUUAAUAUGUAGGCCCAUGAGUUCGAAACCAUUGUCCAAUAUAAUAUGUUGUAACUUGUCUUGAGAAAUUUGUUUUUCUAACAUAGUAUUUCACAUCUUAAUUAAUGAGUAGGAUCAUCAAUUGUUGCUUUAAAUAUCUAAAUGCUGAGUGCUUAUUGAGCAUAAAAAUUGGGCUAUGCGCAAAAUCAUUUAUUGGUGCUUUUUUACAUUUAAUACAAUGUUUUUUUUACGCAGCUUUUAUGAAGAGUAACACAGCCUGCUCAAAUUAACCAAGUUGCUCAAAAUAAUAAUAUCCUUUCAGAUGAGGAUGGAUUUAAUAAACGCUGCCUUUGCGAAUGAAAAGUCACAACAAUGGUUCUGCAAAUUAUUGUAAAUAACUUUUUUACAGUUGCUAUCUGCUUUGUAUGAAUAAAGGCUACCUAAUCCCCCCCCCCAAAAAAAAAUAUAUUUAACAUAGCAUUUCGUUACUAUAAGAUCAUCUAUUCAUAUUUGUGAAUGUUAUUUGAUUGAAUCUCAUCAGAAGUGAAACAAUAAAAUUGUAAGAUCUCCUAUUCUCUGUUUUCAACUUGUUUGCUUCAAUGUGCAUGUACCAACACAGAUGUUGAGCCUAGACUCAAUAGUGGUGGGAAAAUG